GGAGGAUCAUUAUCGUAGGGCUUCGGCCCUGUCGAGAUAGAACCCUUGCCUUUUUGAGUACCUUUCGUUUCCUCGGCAGGCUCGCCUGCCAAUGGGGACCACAAAAAACACUUUGCAGUACCUGUAACAGUCUGAACAAACAAAACAAAAAUUAAAACUUUCAACAACGGAUCUCUUGGUUCUGGCAUCGAUGAAGAACGCAGCGAAAUGCGAUAAGUAGUGUGAAUUGCAGAAUCCAGUGAAUCAUCGAAUCUUUGAACGCACAUUGCGCCCUUUGGUAUUCCUUAGGGCAUGCCUGUUCGAGCGUCAUUUAAACCUUCAAGCUAAGCUUGGUGUUGGGUGACUGUCCGCUUCACUGCGGACUCGCCUCAAAAUUAUUGGCGGCCGGUACAUUGGCUUCGAGCGCAGCAGAAACGCGAACUCGGGCCCGUCGUAUUGGCUCCCAGAAGCUAUCUUCACAAUUUUGACCUCGGAUCAGGUAGGGAUACCCGCUGAACUUAAGCAUAUCAAUAAGCGGAGGA
Molecule: ribosomal RNA, 521 nt
Filed under: uncultured Pleosporales
Lineage: Eukaryota; Fungi; Ascomycota; Dothideomycetes; Pleosporales
Description: eukaryotic LSU rRNA
Rfam family: 5.8S ribosomal RNA (bases 156-309)
Source: RNAcentral